UACGUAGGUGGCUAGCGUUGUCCGGAUUUACUGGGCGUAAAGAGCGCGCAGGCGGUCGUUCAAGUCGAGUGUGAAAGCCCCCGGCUCAACUGGGGAGGGUCACUCGAUACUGAUCGACUUGAAGGCGGGAGAGGGGAGCGGAAUUCCCAGUGUAGCGGUGAAAUGCGUAGAUAUUGGGAGGAACACCCGUGGCGAAGGCGGCCAACUGGGAUACACCUGACGCUGAGGCACGAAGGCGUGGGGAGCGAACGGG
RNAcentral lists this ribosomal RNA (253 nucleotides) under uncultured bacterium. RNAcentral's name for it is "partial 16S ribosomal RNA". It matches the Rfam family "Bacterial small subunit ribosomal RNA", at positions 524 to 776 of the family's 1533-position model. The record is from RNAcentral.